AGGACGAACGCUGGCGGCGUGCUUAACACAUGCAAGUCGAGCGGAAAGGCCCUUCGGGGUACUCGAGCGGCGAACGGGUGAGUAACACGUGAGCAACCUGCCCUUAGCUCCGGGAUAGCUCCGGGAAACCGGAAUUAAAUACCGGAUACGACCACGGCCGACAUCUGCUGUGGUGGAAAGGAUUCCGGCUAAGGAUGGGCUCGCGGCCUAUCAGCUAGUUGGCGGGUAACGGCCCACCAAGGCGAAGAUCGGUA
Molecule: ribosomal RNA, 254 nt
Filed under: uncultured bacterium
Lineage: Bacteria
Description: partial small subunit ribosomal RNA
Rfam family: Bacterial small subunit ribosomal RNA
Source: RNAcentral